GCAGGAUAUUGGGCGUAAGAGCUCGUAGGCGGUUUGUCGCGUCUGCUGUGAAAGACCGGGGCUCAACUCCGGUUCUGCAGUGGGUACGGGCAGACUAGAGUGCAGUAGGGGAGACUGGAAUUCCUGGUGUAGCGGUGAAAUGCGCAGAUAUCAGGAGGAACACCGAUGGCGAAGGCAGGUCUCUGGGCUGUAACUGACGCUGAGGAGCGAAAGCAUGGGGAGCGAACAGGAUUAGAUACCCUGGUAGUCCAUGCCGUAAACGUUGGGCACUAGGUGUGGGGGACAUUCCACGUUUUCCGCGCCGUAGCUAACGCAUUAAGUGCCCCGCCUGGGGAGUACGGCCGCAAGGCUAAAACUCAAAGGAAUUGACGGGGGCCCGCACAAGCGGCGGAGCAUGCGGAUUAAUUCGAUGCAACGCGAAGAACCUUACCAAGGCUUGACAUGAACCGGUAAUACCUGGAAACAGGUGCCCCGCUUGCGGUCGGUUUACAGGUGGUGCAUGGUUGUCGUCAGCUCGUGUCGUGAGAUGUUGGGUUAAGUCCCGCAACGAGCGCAACCCUCGUUCUAUGUUGCCAGCGCGUUAUGGCGGGGACUCAUAGGAGACUGCCGGGGUCAACUCGGAGGAAGGUGGGGACGACGUCAAAUCAUCAUGCCCCUUAUGUCUUGGGCUUCACGCAUGCUACAAUGGCCGGUACAAAGGGUUGCGAUACUGUGAGGUGGAGCUAAUCCCAAAAAGCCGGUCUCAGUUCGGAUUGGGGGUCUGCAACUCGACCCCAUGAAGUCGGAGUCGCUAGUAAUCGCAGAUCAGCAACGCUGCGGUGAAUACGUUCCCGGGCCUUGUACACACCGCCCGUCAAGUCACGAAAGUUGGUAACACCCGAAGCCGGUGGCCUAACCCUUGUGAG
Molecule: ribosomal RNA, 905 nt
Filed under: Arthrobacter sp.
Lineage: Bacteria; Bacillati; Actinomycetota; Actinomycetes; Micrococcales; Micrococcaceae
Description: bacterial SSU rRNA
Rfam family: Bacterial small subunit ribosomal RNA
Source: RNAcentral